AAAUUGACGGGGGCCCGCACAAGCGGUGGAGCAUGUGGUUUAAUCGAAGCAACGCGAAGAACCCUUUACAGGUCUUGACAUCCCGAUGCUAUUUCUAGAGAUAGAAAGUUACUUCGGUACAUCGGUGACAGGUGGUGCAUGGUUGUCGUCAGCUCGUGUCGUGAGAUGUUGGGUUAAGUCCCGCAACGAGCGCAACCCCUAUUGUUAGUUGCCAUCAUUCAGUUGGGCACUCUAGCGAGACUGCCGGUAAUAAACCGGAGGAAGGUGGGGAUGACGUCAAAUCAUCAUGCCCCUUAUGACCUGGGCUACACACGUGCUACAAUGGUUGGUACAGACGGAGGCGAAGCCGCGAGGCGGAGCAAAUCCGAAAAAGCCGGUCUCAGUUCGGAUUGCAGGCUGCAAUUCGCCUGCAUGAAGUCGGAAUCGCUAGUAAUCGCAGGUCAGCAUACUGCGGUCGAAUACGUUCCGGGCCUU
Molecule: ribosomal RNA, 474 nt
Filed under: uncultured Streptococcus sp.
Lineage: Bacteria; Bacillati; Bacillota; Bacilli; Lactobacillales; Streptococcaceae
Description: bacterial SSU rRNA
Rfam family: Bacterial small subunit ribosomal RNA
Source: RNAcentral